This 253-nucleotide ribosomal RNA is filed under the name uncultured bacterium. Its description in RNAcentral is "partial 16S ribosomal RNA". It matches the Rfam family "Bacterial small subunit ribosomal RNA", at positions 524 to 776 of the family's 1533-position model. The record is from RNAcentral.
UACGAAGGGGGCUAGCGUUACUCGGAAUGACUGGGCGUAAAGGGCGCGUAGGCGGUUUGUUUAGUUAGGCGUGAAAUUCCUGGGCUCAACCUGGGGGCUGCGCUUAAUACAGGCAGACUAGAGUGAGGAAGAGGGUUGUGGAAUUCCCAGUGUAGAGGUGAAAUUCGUAGAUAUUGGGAAGAACACCGGUGGCGAAGGCGGCAACCUGGUCCUUGACUGACGCUGAGGCGCGAAAGCGUGGGGAGCAAACAGG